RNAcentral lists this ribosomal RNA (1370 nucleotides) under Nocardia sp. WMMB222. RNAcentral's name for it is "bacterial SSU rRNA". It matches the Rfam family "Bacterial small subunit ribosomal RNA". Lineage: Bacteria; Bacillati; Actinomycetota; Actinomycetes; Mycobacteriales; Nocardiaceae. The record is from RNAcentral.
AUGCAAGUCGAGCGGUAGGCCCUUCGGGGUACACGAGCGGCGAACGGGUGAGUAACACGUGGGUGAUCUGCCUCGUACUUCGGGAUAAGCCUGGGAAACUGGGUCUAAUACCGGAUAGGACCUCUUGUCGCAUGGCUUGGGGUGGAAAGAUUUAUCGGUGCGAGAUGGGCCCGCGGCCUAUCAGCUUGUUGGUGGGGUAAUGGCCUACCAAGGCGACGACGGGUAGCCGGCCUGAGAGGGCGACCGGCCACACUGGGACUGAGACACGGCCCAGACUCCUACGGGAGGCAGCAGUGGGGAAUAUUGCACAAUGGGCGGAAGCCUGAUGCAGCGACGCCGCGUGAGGGAUGACGGCCUUCGGGUUGUAAACCUCUUUCGACAGGGACGAAGCGCAAGUGACGGUACCUGUAGAAGAAGCACCGGCCAACUACGUGCCAGCAGCCGCGGUAAUACGUAGGGUGCGAGCGUUGUCCGGAAUUACUGGGCGUAAAGAGCUUGUAGGCGGUUUGUCGCGUCGUCUGUGAAAACUCACAGCUCAACUGUGAGCUUGCAGGCGAUACGGGCAGACUUGAGUACUGCAGGGGAGACUGGAAUUCCUGGUGUAGCGGUGAAAUGCGCAGAUAUCAGGAGGAACACCGGUGGCGAAGGCGGGUCUCUGGGCAGUAACUGACGCUGAGAAGCGAAAGCGUGGGUAGCGAACAGGAUUAGAUACCCUGGUAGUCCACGCCGUAAACGGUGGGCGCUAGGUGUGGGUUUCCUUCCACGGGAUCCGUGCCGUAGCUAACGCAUUAAGCGCCCCGCCUGGGGAGUACGGCCGCAAGGCUAAAACUCAAAGGAAUUGACGGGGGCCCGCACAAGCGGCGGAGCAUGUGGAUUAAUUCGAUGCAACGCGAAGAACCUUACCUGGGUUUGACAUACACCGGAAACCUGCAGAGAUGUAGGCCCCCUUGUGGUCGGUGUACAGGUGGUGCAUGGCUGUCGUCAGCUCGUGUCGUGAGAUGUUGGGUUAAGUCCCGCAACGAGCGCAACCCUUGUCCUGUGUUGCCAGCACGUAAUGGUGGGGACUCGCAGGAGACUGCCGGGGUCAACUCGGAGGAAGGUGGGGACGACGUCAAGUCAUCAUGCCCCUUAUGUCCAGGGCUUCACACAUGCUACAAUGGGCGGUACAGAGGGCUGCGAGACCGUGAGGUGGAGCGAAUCCCUUAAAGCCGUUCUCAGUUCGGAUCGGGGUCUGCAACUCGACCCCGUGAAGUUGGAGUCGCUAGUAAUCGCAGAUCAGCAACGCUGCGGUGAAUACGUUCCCGGGCCUUGUACACACCGCCCGUCACGUCAUGAAAGUCGGUAACACCCGAAGCCGGUGGCCCAACCCU